GACGAACGCUGGCGGCGUGCUUAACACAUGCAAGUCGAACGGGCCUGUCUUCUUUUUUGGGGGUGGGUUGAGUGGCGAACGGGUGAGUAUCACGUGAGUAACCUGCCCUUCGGUCCUGGAUAACCGCUUGAAAGGGCGGCUAAUACGGGGUGGUCCGGUUGGUCCGCAUGGGCUGGUCGGGAUAGAUUCACUGUUUUUGGUGUUUCGGCGGGGGAUGGGCUCGCGGCCUAUCAGCUUGUUGGGGGGGUGAUGGCCUACCAAGGCGGUGACGGGUAGCCGGCAUGGGCGGGUGAGCGGCCACACUGGGGCUGGGUUACGGCCCAGGGUCCUGCGGCAGGCAGCAGUGGGGGGUGUUACACAACGGGCGGGAGCCUGAUGCAGCGACGUCGCGUGAGAGGUGGAGGCCUUCGGGUAGUGAACCUCUGUUUCCGGUGGUGAAGGCCCUGUCCGUGUGGUGAGGUUGACGGUAGCCGGGGAUGAAGCGCCGGCUAACUACGUG
This 499-nucleotide ribosomal RNA is filed under the name uncultured bacterium. RNAcentral describes it as "partial 16S ribosomal RNA". It matches the Rfam family "Bacterial small subunit ribosomal RNA", at positions 28 to 507 of the family's 1533-position model. The record is from RNAcentral.